GAUGAACGCUGGCGGCGUGCCUAAUACAUGCAAGUCGAGCGAACGGACGAGAAGCUUGCUUCUCUGAUGUUAGCGGCGGACGGGUGAGUAACACGUGGAUAACCUACCUAUAAGACUGGGAUAACUUCGGGAAACCGGAGCUAAUACCGGAUGAUAUUUUGAACCGCAUGGUUCAAAAGUGAAAGACGGUCUUGCUGUCACUUAUAGAUUGAUCCGCGCUGCAUUAGCUAGUUGGUAAGGUAACGGCUUACCAAGGCAACGAUGCAUAGCCGACCUGAGAGGGGGAUCGGCCACACUGGAACUGAGACACGGUCCAGACUCCUAAGGGAGGCAGCAGUAGGGAAUCUUCCGCAAUGGGCGAAAGCCUGACGGAGCAACGCCGCGUGAGUGAUGAAGGUCUUCGGAUCGUAAAACUCUGUUAUUAGGGAAGAACAUAUGUGUAAGUAACUGUGCACAUCUUGACGGUACCUAAUCAGAAAGCCACGGCUAACUACGUG
RNAcentral lists this ribosomal RNA (497 nucleotides) under uncultured bacterium. RNAcentral's name for it is "partial 16S ribosomal RNA". It matches the Rfam family "Bacterial small subunit ribosomal RNA", at positions 28 to 507 of the family's 1533-position model. The record is from RNAcentral.